GCGGGUGUAGUGUAGCGGUCAGCACAGGGGCUUCCCAAGCCUCUAACCCGGGUUCAAAUCCCGGCACCCGCA
This 72-nucleotide transfer RNA is filed under the name Thermoplasmata archaeon. Its description in RNAcentral is "tRNA-Gly". It matches the Rfam family "tRNA". From Rfam's summary of the family: Transfer RNA (tRNA) molecules are approximately 80 nucleotides in length. Their secondary structure includes four short double-helical elements and three loops (D, anti-codon, and T loops). Lineage: Archaea; Methanobacteriati; Thermoplasmatota; Thermoplasmata. RNAcentral also lists the same sequence under 2 other names. The record is from RNAcentral.